RNAcentral lists this ribosomal RNA (495 nucleotides) under uncultured Pseudomonas sp. Its description in RNAcentral is "bacterial SSU rRNA". It matches the Rfam family "Bacterial small subunit ribosomal RNA", at positions 904 to 1382 of the family's 1533-position model. Lineage: Bacteria; Pseudomonadati; Pseudomonadota; Gammaproteobacteria; Pseudomonadales; Pseudomonadaceae. The record is from RNAcentral.
GCCAGCCCGCUACAGAAACUCAAGGAAUUGACGGGGCCGCACAAGCGGUGGAGCAUGUGGUUAAUUCGAAGCAACGCGAAGAACCUUACCAGGCCUUGACAUGCAGAGAACUUCCAGAGAUGGAUUGGUGCCUUCGGGAACUCUGACACAGGUGCUGCAUGGCUGUCGUCAGCUCGUGUCGUGAGAUGUUGGGUUAAGUCCCGUAACGAGCGCAACCCUUGUCCUUAGUUACCAGCACGUUAUGGUGGGCACUCUAAGGAGACUGCCGGUGCAAACCGGAGGAAGGUGGGUAUGACGUCAAGUCAUCAUGGCCCUUACGGCCUGGGCUACACACGUGCUACAAUGGUCGGUACAAAGGGUUGCCAAGCCGCGAGGUGGAGCUAAUCCCAUAAAACCGAUCGUAGUCCGGAUCGCAGUCUGCAACUCGACUGCGUGAAGUCGGAAUCGCUAGUAAUCGUGAAUCAGAAUGUCACGGUGAAUACGUUCCCGGGCCUU